GGUAACAUCAAAUCGUACCCCAAACCGACACAGGUGGUCAGGUAGAGAAUACCAAGGCGCUUGAGAGAACUCGGGUGAAGGAACUAGGCAAAAUGGUGCCGUAACUUCGGGAGAAGGCACGCUGAUAUGUAGGUGAAGUCCCUCGCGGAUGGAGCUGAAAUCAGUCGAAGAUACCAGCUGGCUGCAACUGUUUAUUAAAAACACAGCACUGUGCAAACACGAAAGUGGACGUAUACGGUGUGACGCCUGCCCGGUGCCGGAAGGUUAAUUG
This 271-nucleotide ribosomal RNA is filed under the name Escherichia coli. RNAcentral describes it as "partial 23S ribosomal RNA". It matches the Rfam family "Bacterial large subunit ribosomal RNA", at positions 1630 to 1883 of the family's 2925-position model. The record is from RNAcentral. Lineage: Bacteria; Pseudomonadati; Pseudomonadota; Gammaproteobacteria; Enterobacterales; Enterobacteriaceae.